This is a non-coding RNA of Lolium perenne, 2251 nucleotides long. The record is from RefSeq and is a predicted model, not a curated record. NCBI's taxonomy places the organism in Eukaryota, Viridiplantae, Streptophyta, Magnoliopsida, Poales, Poaceae.
UAGUAUUCCCUCUUUGCCGCCGCCACUCCCUUCUUCUCCCUUCACCUUUCUAUUUUUCUCUAUGAGCUAACGAAGAAGAACCUGCCACCACCGUCCUCGCCAUGGCUCCGGCGCUACAGGCCUCCCCUCGUCUAUCCGAGACCACCACCAGAACCGCCUUGUUUUCCUCUUCCUCCACACCCAAGGAAUCGGCAUGGGGCUCUCUAAAUCGAUGGUGAAAUCGCCAUUACCUUCUCCGACUCCGGCGAGUUCGUCGUUGAUUCCGGUGGCUGUGAAGCGUCCCCGGCCUCCUCGUAUGCGCCAUGAGCUUCAGGGAGUUCGACGCCGGCGAUGCUCCGGUGACCCCCUGGACCCCUCAUCGUCAACAUCUGAUUCCCCAUGUUCAAUCGCAUCCCCGACACCAUUUUCUCGUCCCUGGUUCGACUAGAAUCGGCGGAUCAAUUCACGACUUAUUUCUUCCGCCAUGGCUGCAGUUUCUCAAGUCCGUCUGCAUCCUGUCAUACUUCUUUAUGCCGCGCGCCCACCUCUUGUCACGACUCGAAUCAGCACCGCAGUGAUCUGAAGUCUGAUGGGCCUUGGCCCAGAUCUUCACGCCGCGGGCCGUUGCUCCGCGCGCCCAGCUUCUAUCCGCCACCGCUUCCACCAGCAUUUGCUUCUUCCCGGAUAGGAUCGCGAAGUGGUGCGGUGAGAUACGACAAGUUCUCCGGAUGUUCCUCGGCAAGCUUUAACAGGCAAGCAUUUCCCCUAUACUCCUGUCCCUGCAGGAGUCGCUCACCUAUUUUAUUUUGCCUUCUCCCUCAUGCUAUCCUUAAGUUGCGUUCUUGUCACGUGUCCUUUCCACUUGUUACCUCAAGCAGCCCAUAUUGCCACCACCACCUCCUACGGCUAUUGUUUGGUUAUCGAGUCUGCCCUUGCGAGUCGUAGUGCAUGCUAGUGCUGUUUUAUCUCGUUACCGUUUUGAUAUCUUAUCGGGUUAUAUGUUGGGAAGAAUCAUGGUUACUUUAGUUGUUGAUAUUUGUUUAGCGGAGGCAUCGGUGGGUCAGCUGCUCGUUUUGUGACGGCUCACUUGUGUUUCCUAAAUAUCUUAGGACCCCGAGUUCUUGUUAUCUGUUCCGAGACUGAGCGCUCUAACCACACGUGGGUAUGCUUACCGGGUCUCCCCUCGACCACUGCCGGAAUCUACAGCUUUGUCCAGUGGCCACAAUUAGUUUGAAUGUUUUGUUUCUCUCGGGCGUGCAAGCUUGUUUCUUUGUGGUCAGAUGAUAUGAUGUUACUUUUGGGGCCUUGUACCCCGUUGUCUCUUGCACGUUCGUAGGUUGCGGUGCCACUGCGAAGUGGUCAUCCCGCUGGGCACUGUCCACCUAGCACGCAGUCGCAAUAGCUGAGUCCGCUUCGGAGCACGGCCGGACUCUGAUUUGGGUUUAACUUAGUUAGGUGGCUUCCUGGACAUUGUUGUAGUGAAGGAGAGUGCGUGUCGUGAUAUCCACCUGUCGUAAGUGGGUUGAGCGUGCGUGUGGGUACAUUUGGGCAACCCCUGCAGGGUGUACAUCUUAUCGAUAAGCCGUGUCCGCGGUUAUGGACGACUUGGAGCUGUAUGACUCGACCAUAGACAACUUACACCUGUUGUUUAUUAACAAUAACUUGUGUAGUAAGUUAGCCCAACUUCAAUAAUAAAUGGUUAAAACUUGACAACCUUGUGAGUGCCUUUACCAGUACCUCUUUGCGAAGGGGGAACAUAUUGGCUGUGUUAUGUUUGCAGAGUAUAGAAUUGUUAGUUUAUGCGCUCUCUCAUCUUCUCUGAUUAGACGAAUGUUGUAGAGUGUCUCUAUAGGUUUUUAGUGCUUGCGCGUUGCCGCUUAACCCCACCAUAUUGCCUAUGACGUUUCUCUUGCAUCCUCUAAGUCCCCUGCGUGCCUCAAGUACAAAGGACGACUGGUUGACGAAUGCUUAUACGUCUUGAAGUCUUGUUAAGUAUGAACCCGUACUUAUUACUGCUUCUACGGGAUAUAACCGGGCAGGUAUGAAGAUAUGUUCGAAGAAGACGACGUUAGCAAGGUUACCCUUCCGGCUUGGCCUGGGCAGGGUUAUGGAUGCCGCUGGUUAUCUUCAGGACUCUUAGUCCAAUUUGUAUCUUGUCCGUACUCGGACGUAUUCGAUCUUCUGUAUGAUUUGGAUCUUUAUAUUGUAUAUUUGUAUCUUGACUCGUUGGAGUCGUUGUUGUAAUAUAUGUAUCUUGUGGGCUGUAUUGUAA